Mauremys mutica (yellowpond turtle) is the source of this 996-nucleotide long non-coding RNA. RefSeq lists it as uncharacterized. Lineage: Eukaryota; Metazoa; Chordata; Testudines; Geoemydidae. The record is from RefSeq and is a predicted model, not a curated record. The transcript has 4 exons.
CUGUGAGGAGCUUUGUUGCUAGGGAGCCUGAGGAGACUGGCAGGAAGCAGCACAAGAAGCUAGGCCCCAGAGAGAAAGCCCUAGAAGGAGUUGAUUUGUGAAAGGGGCCUGGAGGCAGAUGUGGAUGAUCAUCUCACACUAUGUGGCAUGAAGUUGGACUAUCUUUAUAAUUAUCUUAACUGCAAAUAUUAUUACUGAUCAUAAAAGGAACAGAUCCCUUUGAACUUCAGCUACUUCCAGUGCCCAUGAAUGGCACUGACUAUGACACAUGAUGAACAAAGAGGGAAAGGACAGCUGGGGCAAGGAAGAAUCCUAAAGCAGACUUGGGAGAAGAGAGACUCCAGGGAAGAAGCCCUGAGGAGGCGUCAGGCAUCCUGGAUGUGGUGCUCUCUAACAGAGUGAGGAAGAACUCUGAAGCACCAGGAAGAAGAGAGCAGGGGUGACCACAACAAGCAGAAGUGGUGACCACUUGAAGGAGCUGGAAGAACGGACAUGUUAAAAGAUGACUGGUUUCUUGAACCAAACCAAAAUGUAUUGGCACUCCACCCGAGUGAUCUGAACACCACUGUUAUCUGAGCUUGUUAGGGAAUCCUAACAAUCCCAAACAUUCAGAGCUAGGAUGUGGGAGGCCCUUCAUGGCUGCACAAGGUCUGAGGGGACACACAUUAGCAGUCUCAGAACAACCUGAGUUUGGGGGCAUGCAGGUACUAUAUGCUCCUGCUCUGCCUCCCCACCCCAGGGAGCAGGAUGCUGGAGAGGGAUGGAGCAGACUGCAGUACUGAUCAAUGUGGAGAGGGAUAUGGUUUCCCCCUACUUCAACCUUAUACUCUCCCCUUUAGUUAUCUAGUCUCCAUGGAUUGCUAGCAGACAACAGUGUCUGUGAUCCACAAUGGGCUUGUGCUCAUGAAUAGGGGAAUACAAAGGCAUGGGAGGAGCUUUACACCCUCUACGUAUGCCAUCUCAUGUACCAGUUCUGAUCAAAACCAAUCAUUAGGA